UAGUCUGGUGCCAGCAGCCGCGGUAAGACGGAGGAUGCAAGUGUUAUCCGGAAUUAUUGGGCGUAAAGCGUUUGUAGGUGGAUAAACAAGUCGAUCGUUAAAUAUAGGGGCUUAACCUCUACUCAGCGAUCUGAAACUGUUUAUCUUGAGGGUGGUAGGGGUAGAAGGAAUUCCUAGUGUAGCGGUGAAAUGCGUAGAUAUUAGGAAGAACACCAACGGCGAAGGCAUUCUGCUGGGCCACACCUGACACUGAGAAACGAAAGCUAGGGGAGCGAAUGGGAUUAGAUACCCCAGUAGUCCUAGCCGUAAACGAUGGAUACUAGAGGAUAUGCGUAUCGACCCGUGUAUUCUCGCAGUUCACACAGUAAGUAUCCCGCCUGGGGAGUACGCUCGCAAGGGUGAAACUCAAAGGAAUUGACGGGGGCCCGCACAAGCGGUGGAGCAUGUGGUUUAAUUUGAUGCAACGCGAAGAACCUUACCAAAACUUGACAUACCAUUUUUAGCUAUCUGAGAAGAAAGCAUUCCCUCGGGACUAUGGAUACAGGUGGU
Molecule: ribosomal RNA, 549 nt
Filed under: uncultured picoeukaryote
Lineage: Eukaryota
Description: bacterial SSU rRNA
Rfam family: Bacterial small subunit ribosomal RNA
Source: RNAcentral